CAGUCGAACGAGAGAGAGGGAGCUUGCUUCCUCAAUCGAGUGGCGAACGGGUGAGUAACGCGUGAGGAACCUGCCUCAAAGAGGGGGACAACAGUUGGAAACGACUGCUAAUACCGCAUAAGCCCACGGCUCGGCAUCGAGCAGAGGGAAAAGGAGCAAUCCGCUUUGAGAUGGCCUCGCGUCCGAUUAGCUAGUUGGUGAGGUAAUGGCCCACCAAGGCAACGAUCGGUAGCCGGACUGAGAGGUUGAACGGCCACAUUGGGACUGAGACACGGCCCAGACUCCUACGGGAGGCAGCAGUGGGGAAUAUUGCACAAUGGGGGAAACCCUGAUGCAGCGACGCCGCGUGGAGGAAGAAGGUCUUCGGAUUGUAAACUCCUGUUGUUGAGGAAGAUAAUGACGGUACUCAACAAGGAAGUGACGGCUAACUACGUGCCAGCAGCCGCGGUAAAACGUAGGUCACAAGCGUUGUCCGGAAUUACUGGGUGUAAAGGGAGCGCAGGCGGGAAGACAAGUUGGAAGUGAAAUCUAUGGGCUCAACCCAUAAACUGCUUUCAAAACUGUUUUUCUUGAGUAGUGCAGAGGUAGGCGGAAUUCCCGGUGUAGCGGUGGAAUGCGUAGAUAUCGGGAGGAACACCAGUGGCGAAGGCGGCCUACUGGGCACCAACUGACGCUGAGGCUCGAAAGUGUGGGUAGCAAACAGGAUUAGAUACCCUGGUAGUC
This 723-nucleotide ribosomal RNA is filed under the name uncultured bacterium. RNAcentral describes it as "bacterial SSU rRNA". It matches the Rfam family "Bacterial small subunit ribosomal RNA", at positions 59 to 795 of the family's 1533-position model. The record is from RNAcentral.